UCGGCAAUGGGCGAAAGCCUGACCGAGCGACGCCGCGUGCGGGAUGAAGGCCUUCGGGUUGUAAACCGCUGUCGUUGGGGAGGAAAUGCAGGGGGGUUCUCCCCUCUGUUUGACCUAUCCAAGGAGGAAGUACGGGCUAAGUUCGUGCCAGCAGCCGCGGUAAGACGAACCGUACAAACGUUAUUCGGAAUUACUGGGCUUAAAGGGUGCGUAGGCUGCGCGGUAAGUUGGGUGUGAAAGCCCUCAGCUCAACUGAGGAACUGCACUCAAAACUACCGUGCUCGAGGGAGACAGAGGUAAGCGGAACUCAAGGUGGAGCGGUGAAAUGCGUUGAUAUCUUGAGGAACACCGGUGGCGAAGGCGGCUUACUGGGUCUUUUCUGGCGCUGAGGCACGAAAGCUAAGGUAGCAAACGGGAUUAGAUACCCCGGUAGUCUUAGCUGUAAACGAUGAGCACUUGUUUGAAGGGUCCUCCAUAGCCUUUCAGACGUAGCGAAAGUGUUAAGUGCUCCGCCUGGGGAGUAUGGUCGCAAGGCUGAAACUCGAAGAA
RNAcentral lists this ribosomal RNA (549 nucleotides) under uncultured bacterium. Its description in RNAcentral is "bacterial SSU rRNA". It matches the Rfam family "Bacterial small subunit ribosomal RNA", at positions 365 to 908 of the family's 1533-position model. The record is from RNAcentral.